GAUGAAGAACGUAGCGAAAUGCGAUAAGUAGUGUGAAUUGCAGAAUUCAGUGAAUCAUCGAAUCUUUGAACGCACAUUGCGCCCCUUGGUAUCCCGAGGGGCAUGCCUGUUCGAGAGUCAUUUCACCACUCAAGCCUGGCUUGGUGUUGGGCGACGUCCUCUUUGGGGACGCGCCUCGAAACGCUCGGCGGCGUGGCACCGGCUUUAAGCGUAGCAGAAUCUUUCGCUUUGGAAGUCGGGGCCCCGUCUGCCGGAAGACCUGCUCGCAAGGUUGACCUCGGAUCAGGCAGGGAUACCCGCUGAACUUAAGCAUAUCAAUAAGCGGAGGA
This 329-nucleotide unclassified non-coding RNA is filed under the name soil metagenome. RNAcentral describes it as "partial contains 5.8S ribosomal RNA, internal transcribed spacer 2, and large subunit ribosomal RNA". The stretch from base 1 to 120 matches the Rfam family "5.8S ribosomal RNA", at positions 35 to 154 of the family's 154-position model. The record is from RNAcentral.